CAGCCGCCGCGGUAAUACAGAGGGUGCGAGCGUUAAUCGGAUCUACUGGGCGUAAAGCGUGCGUAGGCGGCUUUUUAAGUCGGAUGUGAAAUCCCUGAGCUUAACUUAGGAAUUGCAUUCGAUACUGGGAAGCUAGAGUAUGGGAGAGGAUGGUAGAAUUCCAGGUGUAGCGGUGAAAUGCGUAGAGAUCUGGAGGAAUACCGAUGGCGAAGGCAGCCAUCUGGCCUAAUACUGACGCUGAGGUACGAAAGCAUGGGGAGCAAACAGGAUUAGAUACCCCAGUAGUCCCUGUCUCUUAUAC
Molecule: ribosomal RNA, 301 nt
Filed under: uncultured bacterium
Lineage: Bacteria
Description: partial 16S ribosomal RNA
Rfam family: Bacterial small subunit ribosomal RNA
Source: RNAcentral